This 253-nucleotide ribosomal RNA is filed under the name uncultured bacterium. RNAcentral describes it as "partial 16S ribosomal RNA". It matches the Rfam family "Bacterial small subunit ribosomal RNA", at positions 524 to 776 of the family's 1533-position model. The record is from RNAcentral.
UACGUGAGGUGCGAGCGUUGUCCGGAAUUAUUGGGCGUAAAGGGCUCGUAGGCGGUUUGUCGCGUCGGGAGUGAAAACCAUGGGCUUAACUCAUGGCUUGCUUCCGAUACGGGCAGACUAGAGGCAUGCAGGGGAGAACGGAAUUCCUGGUGUAGCGGUGAAAUGCGCAGAUAUCAGGAGGAACACCGGUGGCGAAGGCGGUUCUCUGGGCAUGUCCUGACGCUGAGGAGCGAAAGUGUGGGGAGCGAACAGG